This 212-nucleotide long non-coding RNA is filed under the name Solanum tuberosum (potato). RNAcentral describes it as "long non-coding RNA (STUB_LNC000019)". The record is from RNAcentral. Lineage: Eukaryota; Viridiplantae; Streptophyta; Magnoliopsida; Solanales; Solanaceae.
CGUGCUAAGUGUUGUCCUAUUUGUUUGACUUGGUGUCUAGGUGGGCCUAUUAGAAAUCAUAUAUUUUAUCUUUGUCUAAAUCCACCCUAAUAGUAGUCCAAUGCCUCUUGGACCUUAAGCGGGGACGAUAGGCACCUUGUAGAGACGAAAAGCAUGCGGUGGUGGGGUAGGGGUAGUUUAGGCCCUACGGAGAUGAUGACAUCGACUCAGGC